AGUGAACGCUGGCGGUAGGCCUAACACAUGCAAGUCGAACGGCAGCACAGUAAGAGCUUGCUCUUACGGGUGGCGAGUGGCGGACGGGUGAGGAAUACAUCGGAAUCUACUUUUUCGUGGGGGAUAACGUAGGGAAACUUACGCUAAUACCGCAUACGACCUACGGGUGAAAGCAGGGGAUCUUCGGACCUUGCGCGAUUGAAUGAGCCGAUAUCGGAUUAGCUAGUUGGCGGGGUAAAGGCCCACCAAGGCGACGAUCCGUAGCUGGUCUGAGAGGAUGAUCAGCCACACUGGAACUGAGACACGGUCCAGACUCCUACGGGAGGCAGCAGUGGGGAAUAUUGGACAAUGGGCGCAAGCCUGAUCCAGCCGUACCGCGUGGGUGAAGAAGGCCUUCGGGUUGUAAAGCCCUUUUGUUGGGAAAGAAAAGCAGCAGGUUAAUACCCCGCUGUUCUGACGGUACCCAAAGAAUAAGCACCGGCUAACUUCGUG
RNAcentral lists this ribosomal RNA (492 nucleotides) under uncultured bacterium. Its description in RNAcentral is "partial 16S ribosomal RNA". It matches the Rfam family "Bacterial small subunit ribosomal RNA", at positions 29 to 507 of the family's 1533-position model. The record is from RNAcentral.